GUCCAGCAGUACCCCUGUACACCCUCUUCUUCUUUUUCCUCAAACUUAGCCAACUCCAGCUCCAAACGUGCAAACGGUACUGACCCAUCUAAUCGUCGUCCCCUUUUUCCCCUUUCGCGGAAGUCGUCGAUUUUUCCCAUCUUUCACUGAUGCUAUUGGAAAAAAGGAAAAUAAAUAUUUUUAUCAUUUGAAGUUUUCAAUU
RNAcentral lists this unclassified non-coding RNA (202 nucleotides) under Hevea brasiliensis (rubber tree). Lineage: Eukaryota; Viridiplantae; Streptophyta; Magnoliopsida; Malpighiales; Euphorbiaceae. The record is from RNAcentral.